Molecule: transfer RNA, 95 nt
Filed under: Thermodesulforhabdus norvegica
Lineage: Bacteria; Pseudomonadati; Thermodesulfobacteriota; Syntrophobacteria; Syntrophobacterales; Thermodesulforhabdaceae
Description: Selenocysteine transfer RNA
Rfam family: Selenocysteine transfer RNA
Source: Rfam by way of RNAcentral
GGAAGUGCCCAGCCCGCUGGUGGGGCUCCCGGACUUCAAAUCCGGUGGGGGGCAGUGAAGGCUGUCCCCGGUGGGUUCGAUUCCCAUGCACUUCC